Long non-coding RNA from Rana temporaria (common frog), 1174 nucleotides. RefSeq lists it as uncharacterized. The record is from RefSeq and is a predicted model, not a curated record. NCBI's taxonomy places the organism in Eukaryota, Metazoa, Chordata, Amphibia, Anura, Ranidae. The transcript has 3 exons.
CACACUGAGUAAGAGUCUUGGCCAAUCACAGCCAGCCUUACACAUAUUUUCUGUCUGGAAAAUUCCCAGCACACUUCUAGAACUCAUUAGACCAGAGAGAGGAGAUCUGAACAGACACUCAUCACUCAGAGUUUGGUUUUAUGGAAGCAAGUGGCCAAAAUAGUUCCACCAAACCUCAAACAUCAAACGUGCUAUCAAACAAACAUUACAUUUCAAUUCCAAACAUCACAGCAAAUGGUCAAACAAGCAAACGUGCUAUCAAACUGCAAACAGCAAUAUAGACACAACUUACCGCACCAUGCUGGUUCUGUCUCGCAAGCCCAGAAGUGGAGAAACACCUUGUAGUCAGCAUUGGAGAACAUGUAUGUUUCUGUGAGUAGCCACAGAUGUUAUCCAUCUUCUGAAUCCAGAGGAAGGGAUGCGGGGCAUCCUUCCAUGUAGUUAGUAGAUAGUAUUGUCAAUGCCCUGCAGACUUGAUUGUGGUUUUUGUCGCAUCUCUCCUUGGUGACGUUCACCACCAGGUCUUGCUGGAUCUCGGCAAGUAAGGUCCUUCGAGACCUGGUGGUGAACGUCACCAAGGACAGAUGUGUUGAAAAUACUGUCUACUACAUGGAAGGAUGCCUCGCGCCCCUUCCUCUGGAUUCAGAAGAUGCAUAACAUCUGUGGAUACCCAUGUUCCCCAGUGCUGACUUACCAAUUGUUAUGCUACAUCCAUCUUCCGGAUCCAGAGGAGAGGACACAAGGCAUCCUUCCAUGUAGUGGACAGUAUUUCCAACGUCCUGCAGACUUGAUUGCGUUUUUUGUAGCAUCUGUCCUUGGUGACAUUCACCACCAGAUCUCACUUGGAUGUUACCAUUUGUUAUGCUACAUAUUUUCCUGGGUCAAGUUGAUGGACAUCACUGACUGUUUUUAACAAUGUCAAGGCUUAUAUAUGCAAGCUUUAAUCUAUCAACAGAAGUGAUUGGCUUUAUUUAAAUACACAACCCGUAUGAAAGAAAUGUACUUCUGAAAAACUUUGGGUGUUCCCCUUGCUGGCCAUUAUCCUGGCAGUUCAGGGAUUGAGUAGAACCCACAUAUGUUUGACCCUUGCACUAUGUUGACUUCUUUGUAUCUCAGCCACUAUUGCUGCUCAUGUUUUUAACAAUUUGUCAAAUAAAAUUUUCAUAAAUUUUUA